RNAcentral lists this ribosomal RNA (105 nucleotides) under Pseudanabaena sp. CRU_2_10. Its description in RNAcentral is "partial 23S ribosomal RNA". It matches the Rfam family "Bacterial large subunit ribosomal RNA", at positions 2286 to 2393 of the family's 2925-position model. The record is from RNAcentral. Lineage: Bacteria; Bacillati; Cyanobacteriota; Cyanophyceae; Pseudanabaenales; Pseudanabaenaceae.
CCUCCCAAGGGUAACGGAGGAGUGCGAAGGUAACCUUAUCACGGGCGGAAAUCGUGAGGAAAGUGCAAUGGCAAAAGGUUGCUUAACUGCGAGAGGUACAUCAAG